Arabidopsis lyrata subsp. lyrata is the source of this 573-nucleotide long non-coding RNA. RefSeq lists it as uncharacterized. The transcript has 2 exons. The record is from RefSeq and is a predicted model, not a curated record. NCBI's taxonomy places the organism in Eukaryota, Viridiplantae, Streptophyta, Magnoliopsida, Brassicales, Brassicaceae.
UAACAAAAUCUGAUGAUACCUAGACUUAAAUGAAAUGGCAUCCAGGAAAAGAAGUGGCCGGCAACCAGUUUGAAAGCCAUGUAUACAAGAUUGGAAAGACAUAAAUAGCCGCUGAAAUCUUCUGUCCUCACCAACCACCAGAUCAACCAUACUUCCAGGGAUUACGUGAGAACGCAGAGAUCAUUUUGGGGCGAGAGAGGAUUCUAUUGCAGACGCUGUUCCAGGAUCGGUUAACACAGGAAGCGAAAGCAAACGAUUUAGCCGGCAAUAGAAUGUUAUGUAGAAGGUCGUCGUUCAUGGAGGCGAUGAAAACCAUGUCAUUCAUAGCUGGCUUCUUCUUCGAUUUCUCGCUACUUACCUUUGUCAUCUCCUUCUUCGUCUGAGAGAGACGCUUCCGCCGCGAGAUACAAUUUUUUUCCUUUUUUUCUCCGGCGAAUUUAUUUGGGCUUAUUUGUUUGUUAAAAAUAAAAGUUACAUUGGGCUUUCCCAGAAACGGCCCAAUAUCCGAAAACGGGUAUCGUGAACAUGUAAUUAUACUCCCUCCGUUAUUUAAUAUAAGAUUUUUGUUGAAAA